Molecule: ribosomal RNA, 175 nt
Filed under: uncultured bacterium
Lineage: Bacteria
Description: partial 16S ribosomal RNA
Rfam family: Bacterial small subunit ribosomal RNA
Source: RNAcentral
CCGUGAAGCUGGAUUCGCUAGUAAUCGCGCAUCAGCCAUGGCGCGGUGAAUACGUUCCCGGGCCUUGUACACACCGCCCGUCAAGCCAUGGAAGCCGGGAGUGCCUGAAGUGCGUGAGCGCAAGCAGCGCCCUAAGGUAAAACCGGUGACUGGGGCUAAGUCGUAACAAGGUAGC